UGUUUCGGCUAGGGGGCCAUCCCGGCUUACCAACCCGAUGCAAACUGCGAAUACCGGAGAAUGUUAUCACGGGAGACACACGGCGGGUGCUAACGUCCGUCGUGAAGAGGGAAACAACCCAGACCGCCAGCUAAGGUCCCAAAGUCAUGGUUAAGUGGGAAACGAUGUGGGAAGGCCCAGACAGCCAGGAUGUUGGCUUAGAAGCAGCCAUCAUUUAAAGAAAGCGUAAUAGCUCACUGGUCGAGUCGGCCUGCGCGGAAGAUGUAACGGGGCUAAACCAUGCACCGAAGCUGCGGCAGCGAACGUAUCACCCAAGACAACUUUACGGAGUUAACGAUUGACGGAGCGAAGCGACGUCAAAGCGUUCAUUAAAGUCGAGUUGGCUUAGGGAUACGUUCGUUGGGUAGGGGAGCGUUCUGUAAGCCUGUGAAGGUGGCCUGUGAGGGUUGCUGGAGGUAUCAGAAGUGCGAAUGCUGACAUAAGUAACGAUAAAGCGGGUGAAAAGCCCGCUCGCCGGAAGACCAAGGGUUCCUGUCCAACGUUAAUCGGGGCAGGGUGAGUCGACCCCUAAGGCGAGGCCGAAAGGCGUAGUCGAUGGGAAACGGGUUAAUAUUCCCGUACUUGGUGUUACUGCGAAGGGGGGACGGAGAAGGCUAUGUUGGCCGGGCGACGGUUGUCCCGGUUUAAGCGUGUAGGUGUGUGUU
This 704-nucleotide ribosomal RNA is filed under the name Salmonella enterica subsp. enterica serovar Poona. RNAcentral's name for it is "partial 23S ribosomal RNA". It matches the Rfam family "Bacterial large subunit ribosomal RNA", at positions 911 to 1532 of the family's 2925-position model. The record is from RNAcentral. Lineage: Bacteria; Pseudomonadati; Pseudomonadota; Gammaproteobacteria; Enterobacterales; Enterobacteriaceae.